CCUACGGGAGGCAGCAGUGAGGAAUAUUGCGCAAUGGCCGCAAGGCUGACGCAGCAACGCCGCGUGAGGGAUGAAGGUUUUCGGAUUGUAAACCUCUGUUAGGAGGGACGAAAGGUACUAUUAUGAAUAGUGAUAGUAAUUGACGGUACCUCCAGAGGAAGCCCCGGCUAACUCCGUGCCAGCAGCCGCGGUAAUACGGGGGGGGCUAGCGUUGUCCGGAAUCAUUGGGCGUAAAGGGCGCGUAGGCGGGGUGGUCAGUCUGAGGUGAAAACUUGCGGCUUAACCGUAAGCCUGCCUCGGAUACUGCCAUUCUUGAGUUCGGUAGAGGGAAGUGGAAUUCCUGGUGUAGCGGUGAAAUGCGUAGAUAUCAGGAAGAACACCAGUAGCGAAGGCGGCUUCCUGGCCCGAUACUGACGCUGAUGCGCGAAAGCGUGGGGAGCGAACAGGAUUAGAUACCCUGGUAGUCCACGCUGUAAACGAUGGGCACUAGGUGUUGGAUGUAGAUUCAGCGCCGGAGCGAACGCAUUAAGUGUUCCGCCUGGGGAGUACGGCCGCAAGGCUAAAACUCAAAGGAAUUGACGG
Molecule: ribosomal RNA, 582 nt
Filed under: uncultured bacterium
Lineage: Bacteria
Description: bacterial SSU rRNA
Rfam family: Bacterial small subunit ribosomal RNA
Source: RNAcentral